CCUCGUGGAUCUGGCCGGGGCACAGGAAGUGCACGUGCGUGUCGACGCCGCCGGCGGUCAGGAUGCGUCCCUGGCCGGAGAUCACCUCCGUCUCGGGUCCCACGACGAAGGACGACGCGCGCGGGUCGGUGUUGCCGGGCGGCGUCAUGGUCUCGGGGUUGUACGCCUUGCCGAUCGCCUGGAUCCGGCCGUCGCGCAGCCCGACGUCGGCCUUGACCACGCCCCAGUGGUCCAGGAUCAGCGCCCCGGUGAUCACCGUGUCCACCGGCUUGCGCUCAUGGUCGCGCGGGAUGUGCGACUGCCCCAUGGACUCGCGGA
Small RNA from Streptomyces sp. CB02400, 318 nucleotides. It matches the Rfam family "5' ureB small RNA". NCBI's taxonomy places the organism in Bacteria, Bacillati, Actinomycetota, Actinomycetes, Kitasatosporales, Streptomycetaceae. The record is from Rfam.